Molecule: long non-coding RNA, 1055 nt
Filed under: Heterocephalus glaber (naked mole-rat)
Lineage: Eukaryota; Metazoa; Chordata; Mammalia; Rodentia; Bathyergidae
Description: lncRNA (ENSHGLG00000039653.1)
Source: RNAcentral
CUUAUUAAUCAGCGCUGACCAGAGGCCCCUUUUGAAACAAGAGAAGAGGAGAGAGAGAGAGAGAGAGAGAGAGAGAGAGAGAGAGAGAGAGAGAGAGAGAGAGAGAGAGAGAGAGAGAGAGAGAGAGAGAAGGAGAGAGACAGACAGAGAGAGAGUGAGGUAAAAGAAGAUUGAGAAGCCCUGGACAGAUCUUUCUAAAGCCAGAUCAACCAUAGGGUACUUCCCUCCCGUGGCCAAAGUUUAUUUGGCACAACAAAGUUUUUAAUCAGGCCACAGAGACCUGGAUUUCUCUUCAUUUGUUUUACUUCCAGUCUCUCCCUCUGAAGAUGUUGGAGACUUUGUUGCAAGGAAGGAUGGCUUUAGGUCAUAUUGCUAAGGCCUGAUCUUAAAGAUCUAAUUGCUAUUGGAAGAGAAGCCUGUUUCCCAGCUGGGCCUCCACUCUGGAGAUGGUGCAAGGAAGACUGUCCACUCUGCUCUGGGCACCCUGCUGAUGGAUGAGGUGUCAGGCCAGUCGUCAUGUGAGGGACUGGUUUCCAAAUGCCCCCACUAACACCGCCCCCCACCGACACCCCGGGAUUGAACUCAGGACCUUGUGCUUGCCAGGCAGUUGCGGUGCCACUGAGCCAAAUCCCUGGACUUGCCACUACUUUACUCUUUCAGCAGCACCAGGGAUGAAUAUUAGGGCCUCAUGCAUGCCAGGCAAGCACUCUACCACUAUGCUAUAUACCCAGCCCAUUGUGAGUCCUUUAUCAGGAGCCUCUUGCUAUUUUUCCUCUUUACCUUCAGUUCGUGGCAAACAGCACAACACUUCAAAUGAACACUCAAGUCAGAGUAAGAGCAAUUAAAAAUUAAGGCAAGCUAGAUGUAUUGGGAAUCGAACUCGGAUCUUUGCUCUUGCGAGGCAGGUGGCAGAACCACUGAGACUCUAACUCAAUCAAAGAGCCUCAGGCCAUCUAAUCAAAUAGAAAAUGAAGUCUACAAAGACAGAGAGGAAACAGAGAGAUUGAUGAAACAGUACGAGGGAUUCACUCACCAGCAGAGCAGUUGAAGAAUGG